UAGUACAAUAAUGUGAUGUGUGUUUACAGGUUGCACCCAUUCUGGUGUAAGUUAUAACAAUGGAGACUCUUGGAGGUCGGCGGAGAGUCCUUGUGAUAUCUGCCAGUGUUUGGACGGUUAUGUUCGCUGUGAGAGGGAGCAGUGUUAUACUCCCUGUAGAAACCCUACUGCUCCUCCUCCAAAUACCUGCUGUCCAGUCUGUGAUGGCUGUGAUGUGAAUGGACGUGAUAUCCCUAAUGGAGCUGUGAUCCCUGUUGGAGACCCCUGUCAAGAGUGUAGAUGUGAGAAUGGAAAUAUGGUGUGUUCACGCGUUCGCUGUUCUGCUCCGUCUUGUCACAACCCAGUGUAUCAUGCUGGGGAGUGUUGUCCACGGUAA
Long non-coding RNA from Oreochromis niloticus (Nile tilapia), 376 nucleotides. RefSeq lists it as uncharacterized. The record is from RefSeq and is a predicted model, not a curated record. Lineage: Eukaryota; Metazoa; Chordata; Actinopteri; Cichliformes; Cichlidae. The transcript has 4 exons.